ACUCAAAUGAAUUGACGGGGGCCCGCACAAGCGGUGGAGCAUGUGGUUUAAUUCGAUGCAACGCGAAGAACCUUACCUGGGUUGGAAGAUGCCGGACAGGAGUAGAGAUAUUCCCUUCUAGCAAUAGACCGGUAGUUAGGUGCUGCAUGGCUGUCGUCAGCUCGUAUCGUGAGAUGUCGGGUUAAGUCCCUUAACGAGCGCAACCCCUAUCCCUAGUUGCCAUCAUUCAGUUGGGCACUCUAUGGAGACCGCCGGCGUUAAGCCGGAGGAAGGCGGGGAUGACGUCAAGUCCUCAUGGCCCUUAUGUCCAGGGCUACACACGUGCUACAAUGGCUGGUACAAAGCGUUGCCAACCUGUAAAGGGGAGCUAAUCGCAGAAAGCCAGUCUCAGUUCGGAUUGAAGUCUGCAAUUCGACUUCAUGAAGCUGGAAUCGCUAGUAAUCGCGGAUCAGAACGCCGCGGUGAAUACGUUCCCGGGCCUUGCACACACCGCCCGU
This 497-nucleotide ribosomal RNA is filed under the name uncultured bacterium. RNAcentral's name for it is "partial 16S ribosomal RNA". It matches the Rfam family "Bacterial small subunit ribosomal RNA", at positions 899 to 1397 of the family's 1533-position model. The record is from RNAcentral.